This 631-nucleotide long non-coding RNA is filed under the name Ananas comosus (pineapple). Its description in RNAcentral is "long non-coding RNA (ACOM_LNC037777)". The record is from RNAcentral. Lineage: Eukaryota; Viridiplantae; Streptophyta; Magnoliopsida; Poales; Bromeliaceae.
CCCCAACUUCCCAGGGGGUCACCCAUCCUAGGACUACUCCCGUCCUAGCACGCUUAACUCUCUUAACCUCUUGGGCCUUGCCACCACCCAAAAUGCUUAAGCCGGGUUAAGAGUUUAGCCCUAUUAUAUCUCAUAUAUAGGACUAUCUGGGGUCUCACAAUCUCCCCUCCUUUAAGCCCUGACGUCCUCGUCAGGCUCAGACUCACAAGUACCAGGCGAUGUGAGACUCGUCUCGCUAGCCCGUCAUCCAGACCCUGGCUCAGCCGAGACUCAUCUCACACUUCCGGCUGGUAAUUGGCUCUGAUACCAUCUGUGACGCCCCAACUUCCCAGGGGGUCACCCAUCCUAGGACUACUCCCGUCCUAGCACGCUUAACUCUCUUAACCUCUUGGGCCUUGCCACCACCCAAAAUGCUUAAGCCGGGUUAAGAGUUUAGUCCUAUUAUAUCUCAUAUAUAGGACUAUCUGGGGUCUCACACUCGCCGUCACCCUCGCCCAUGCACACCCCGCCCUUCUCCCCUCCGACCCUGUCGAGGCCGUACCGCGAACAUUUUUUCUUUUUUUCCUCUCUGACCCUCCUCCACUCGCCGUCCCCACCGCCGUCGUUGGCGACAAAGAGGAAAUGCUUCUUG